GCUUGCUCCGCUGACGACCGGCGCACGGGUGCGCACCGCGUAUGGAACCUACCUUCUACAGGGGAAUAGCCUUUGGAAACGAAGAUUAAUGCCCCAUAGUAUCAUUAUACAGCAUUGUAUUUUGAUUAAAGCCUUCGGGCGGUGGAAGAUGGCCAUGCGUCCCAUUAGCUUGAUGGUAAGGUAACGGCUUACCAUGGCUACGAUGGGUAGGGGCCCUGAGAGGGGGAUCCCCCACACUGGUACUGAGACACGGACCAGACUCCUACGGGAGGCAGCAGUGAGGAAUAUUGGACAAUGGAGGGGACUCUGAUCCAGCCAUGCCGCGUGCAGGAAGAAUGCCCUAUGGGUAGUAAACUGCUUUUAUACGGGAAGAAAAAGGGCUACGUGUAGCCUGUUGACGGUACCGUAAGAAUAAGGACCGGCUAACUCCGUGCCAGCAGCCGCGGUAAUACGGAGGGUCCGAGCGUUAUCCGGAAUUAUUGGGUUUAAAGGGUCCGUAGGCGGGCAGCUAAGUCAGAGGUGAAAGUUUGCAGCUCAACUGUAAAAUUGCCUUUGAUACUGGUUGUCUUGAGUUAUAGUGAAGUUGCCGGAAUAUGUAGUGUAGCGGUGAAAUGCAUAGAUAUUACAUAGAACACCGAUUGCGAAGGCAGGUGACUAACUGUAUACUGACGCUGAUGGACGAAAGCGUGGGGAGCGAACAGGAUUAGAUACCCUGGUAGUCCACGCCGUAAACGAUGGAUACUAGCUGUCCGGGUCCUUGAGACCUGGGCGGCCAAGCGAAAGUGAUAAGUAUCCCACCUGGGGAGUACGUUCGCAAGAAUGAAACUCAAAGGAAUUGACGGGGGCCCGCACAAGCGGU
Molecule: ribosomal RNA, 859 nt
Filed under: Maribacter antarcticus
Lineage: Bacteria; Pseudomonadati; Bacteroidota; Flavobacteriia; Flavobacteriales; Flavobacteriaceae
Description: bacterial SSU rRNA
Rfam family: Bacterial small subunit ribosomal RNA
Source: RNAcentral